Molecule: ribosomal RNA, 699 nt
Filed under: Cytobacillus firmus
Lineage: Bacteria; Bacillati; Bacillota; Bacilli; Caryophanales; Bacillaceae
Description: bacterial SSU rRNA
Rfam family: Bacterial small subunit ribosomal RNA
Source: RNAcentral
GUGCCUAAUACAUGCAAGUCGAGCGGACAGAUGGGAGCUUGCUCCCUGAAGUCAGCGGCGGACGGGUGAGUAACACGUGGGCAACCUGCCUGUAAGACUGGGAUAACUCCGGGAAACCGGGGCUAAUACCGGAUAAUUCUUUCCCUCACAUGAGGGAAAGCUGAAAGAUGGUUUCGGCUAUCACUUACAGAUGGGCCCGCGGCGCAUUAGCUAGUUGGUGAGGUAACGGCUCACCAAGGCAACGAUGCGUAGCCGACCUGAGAGGGUGAUCGGCCACACUGGGACUGAGACACGGCCCAGACUCCUACGGGAGGCAGCAGUAGGGAAUCUUCCGCAAUGGACGAAAGUCUGACGGAGCAACGCCGCGUGAGUGAUGAAGGUUUUCGGAUCGUAAAACUCUGUUGUUAGGGAAGAACAAGUACCGGAGUAACUGCCGGUACCUUGACGGUACCUAACCAGAAAGCCACGGCUAACUACGUGCCAGCAGCCGCGGUAAUACGUAGGUGGCAAGCGUUGUCCGGAAUUAUUGGGCGUAAAGCGCGCGCAGGCGGUUCCUUAAGUCUGAUGUGAAAGCCCCCGGCUCAACCGGGGAGGGUCAUUGGAAACUGGGGAACUUGAGUGCAGAAGAGAAGAGUGGAAUUCCACGUGUAGCGGUGAAAUGCGUAGAGAUGUGGAGGAACACCAGUGGCGAAAGGCGAC